RNAcentral lists this ribosomal RNA (395 nucleotides) under uncultured bacterium. Its description in RNAcentral is "partial 16S ribosomal RNA". It matches the Rfam family "Bacterial small subunit ribosomal RNA", at positions 338 to 733 of the family's 1533-position model. The record is from RNAcentral.
CCUACGGGUGGCUGCAGUGGGGAAUAUUGCACAAUGGGGGAAACCCUGAUGCAGCGACGCCGCGUGAGUGAAGAAGUACUUCGGUAUGUAAAGCUCUAUCAGCAGGGAAGAAAUAAAGUCCUUCGGACUUUGGACGGUACCUGACUAAGAAGACCCGGCUAACUACGUGCCAGCAGCCGCGGUAAGACGUAGGGGGCCAGCGUUAUCCGGAUUUACUGGGUGGAAGGGGAGCGUAGACGGCGGCGCAAGUCUGGAGUGAAAUCCCAUGGCUUAACCAUGGAACUGCUUUUGAAACUGGGCAGCUAGAGUGCAGGAGAGGGAAGCGGAAUUCCAAGUGUAGCGGUGAAAUGCGUAGAGAUGAGGAGGAACACCAGUGGCGAAGGCGGCUUACUGGA